GCAACUCGACUACAUGAAGUCGGAAUCGCUAGUAAUCGCAGGUCAGCAUACUGCGGUGAAUACGUUCCCGGGCCUUGUACACACCGCCCGUCACACCACGAAAGUUGACAACACCCGAAGCCGGUGAGCUAACUCGUAAGAGGGGCAGCCGUCGAAGGUGGGGUUGAUGAUUGGGGUGAAGUCGUAACAAGGUAGCCGUAUCGGAAGGUGCGGCUGGAUCACCUCCUUU
Molecule: ribosomal RNA, 229 nt
Filed under: Desulforamulus aquiferis
Lineage: Bacteria; Bacillati; Bacillota; Clostridia; Eubacteriales; Peptococcaceae
Description: partial 16S ribosomal RNA
Rfam family: Bacterial small subunit ribosomal RNA
Source: RNAcentral